Long non-coding RNA from Neltuma alba, 166 nucleotides. RefSeq lists it as uncharacterized. NCBI's taxonomy places the organism in Eukaryota, Viridiplantae, Streptophyta, Magnoliopsida, Fabales, Fabaceae. The transcript has 2 exons. The record is from RefSeq and is a predicted model, not a curated record.
CUUGGCUAGUUUGCUUUGAUGAAUCAUGGCAGCUGAAUCUGUCUUUCAGAUCUUCGGGAUGAUGAGAAGUUCCUUCUAGACCACCCUGGUGCAGUGCCCAUCACCACGGCUCAGGGGGAGGAACUAAGAAAACUUAUUGGCGCUCCUGUUUAUGUUGAGUGUAGUU